RNAcentral lists this ribosomal RNA (253 nucleotides) under uncultured bacterium. RNAcentral describes it as "partial 16S ribosomal RNA". It matches the Rfam family "Bacterial small subunit ribosomal RNA", at positions 524 to 776 of the family's 1533-position model. The record is from RNAcentral.
UACGGAGGGUGCAAGCGUUAUCCGGAUUCACUGGGUUUAAAGGGUGCGUAGGAGGGCAGGUAAGUCAGUGGUGAAAUCCCCGAGCUUAACUUGGGAACUGCCAUUGAUACUAUCUGUCUUGAAUGCUGUGGAGGUGAGCGGAAUAUGUCAUGUAGCGGUGAAAUGCUUAGAUAUGACAAAGAACACCAAUUGCGAAGGCAGCUCGCUACACAGUUAUUGACUCUGAGGCACGAAAGCGUGGGGAUCAAACAGG